UGCCAGCAGCCGCGGUAAUACGGAGGGGGCUAGCGUUGCUCGGAAUUACUGGGCGUAAAGAGCACGUAGGCGGGUAUUCUAGUCGGAUGUGAAAUCCCAAGGCUCAACCUUGGAACUGCAUUCGAAACUGCCUGGCUAGAGUCUCGGAGAGGGUGGCGGAAUUCCCGGUGUAGGGGUGAAAUCCGUAGAUAUCGGGAGGAACACCAGUGGCGAAGGCGGCCACCUGGACGAUGACUGACGCUGAGACGCGAAAGCGUGGGGAGCAAACAGGAUUAGAUA
RNAcentral lists this ribosomal RNA (279 nucleotides) under uncultured bacterium. RNAcentral describes it as "partial 16S ribosomal RNA". It matches the Rfam family "Bacterial small subunit ribosomal RNA", at positions 506 to 784 of the family's 1533-position model. The record is from RNAcentral.